RNAcentral lists this ribosomal RNA (645 nucleotides) under Hybomitra bimaculata. RNAcentral's name for it is "partial 16S ribosomal RNA". It matches the Rfam family "Bacterial large subunit ribosomal RNA", at positions 1703 to 2700 of the family's 2925-position model. Lineage: Eukaryota; Metazoa; Arthropoda; Insecta; Diptera; Tabanidae. The record is from RNAcentral.
AUAUAAAGAACUCGGCAAAUAUAAUGUUCGCCUGUUUAUCAAAAACAUGUCCUUUUGAGAUUUAUUUAAGGUCUAAUCUGCCCACUGAUAUAAUUGAAGGGCCGCGGUAUUUUAACCGUGCAAAGGUAGCAUAAUCAUUAGUUUUUUAAUUGAAGGCUUGUAUGAAUGAUUGGACGAGAUAUUAGCUGUUUCAUAUAAAAUUUGAUAGAAUUUUAUUUUUUAGUUAAAAAGCUAAAAUUGAAAUAAAAGACGAGAAGACCCUAUAGAUCUUGAUAAUUUAUAUAUUUUAUUUAUAUAGAAACUUUAAAGUAUUAUAUUUAUAAUUAUUUUGUUGGGGUGACAAUAAAAUUUAAUAAACUUUUAUAUAAAUUUUACAUUAAUUAAUGAAUAAUUGAUCCAUUAUUAGUGAUUAAUAAAUUAAGUUACCUUAGGGAUAACAGCGUAAUUUUUUUAGAGAGUUCAUAUCGAUAAAAGAGAUUGCGACCUCGAUGUUGGAUUAAGAGAUAAAGUUGGGUGUAGAAGUUCAAAUAUUUAGGUCUGUUCGACCUUUAAUUUCUUACAUGAUCUGAGUUCAAACCGGCGUGAGCCAGGUUGGUUUCUAUCUUUAUUUAAUUAUAACAUUUUAGUACGAAAGGACCAAAUGUU